This 558-nucleotide ribosomal RNA is filed under the name uncultured Methanosaeta sp. RNAcentral describes it as "bacterial SSU rRNA". It matches the Rfam family "Archaeal small subunit ribosomal RNA", at positions 345 to 903 of the family's 1478-position model. Lineage: Archaea; Methanobacteriati; Methanobacteriota; Methanomicrobia; Methanotrichales; Methanotrichaceae. The record is from RNAcentral.
AAACUUUACAAUGCUGGCAACAGCGAUAAGGGGACCUCGAGUGCCAGGAUACAAUCUUGGCUGUCGCGAUGCCUAAAAAGCAUUGCAUAGCAAGGGCCGGGCAAGACCGGUGCCAGCCGCCGCGGUAACACCGGCGGCUCGAGUGGUAACCGCUAUUAUUGGGUCUAAAGGGUCUGUAGCCGGCCGGAUAAGUCUCUUGGGAAAUCCAGCUGCUCAACAGUUGGGCUUUCAGGAGAUACUGUUCGGCUCGAGACCGGGAGAGGUGAGAGGUACUUCAGGGGUAGGGGUGAAAUCUUGUAAUCCUUGAAGGACCACCAGUGGCGAAGGCGUCUCACCAGAACGGAUCUGACGGCAAGGGACGAAAGCUAGGGGCACGAACCGGAUUAGAUACCCGGGUAGUCCUAGCCGUAAACGAUACUCGCUAGGUGUCAGCCACGGUGCGACCGUGGUUGGUGCCGUAGGGAAGCCGUGAAGCGAGCCACCUGGGAAGUACGGCCGCAAGGCUGAAACUUAAAGGAAUUGGCGGGGGAGCACUACAACGGGUGGAGCCUGCGGUUU